AACGAACGCUGGCGGCAUGCCUAACACAUGCAAGUCGAACGAGAUCCUUCGGGGUCUAGUGGCGCACGGGUGCGUAACGCGUGGGAAUCUGCCCUUAGGUUCGGAAUAACAGUUAGAAAUGACUGCUAAUACCGGAUGAUGACGUUAAGUCCAAAGAUUUAUCGCCUGAGGAUGAGCCCGCGUAGGAUUAGCUAGUUGGUGUGGUAAAGGCGCACCAAGGCGACGAUCCUUAGCUGGUCUGAGAGGAUGAUCAGCCACACUGGGACUGAGACACGGCCCAGACUCCUACGGGAGGCAGCAGUGGGGAAUAUUGGACAAUGGGCGCAAGCCUGAUCCAGCAAUGCCGCGUGAGUGAUGAAGGCCUUAGGGUUGUAAAGCUCUUUUACCCGAGAUGAUAAUGACAGUAUCGGGAGAAUAAGCCCCGGCUAACUCCGU
RNAcentral lists this ribosomal RNA (435 nucleotides) under uncultured bacterium. RNAcentral's name for it is "partial 16S ribosomal RNA". It matches the Rfam family "Bacterial small subunit ribosomal RNA", at positions 29 to 506 of the family's 1533-position model. The record is from RNAcentral.